This 243-nucleotide ribosomal RNA is filed under the name Paralichthys olivaceus (Japanese flounder). RNAcentral's name for it is "partial 16S ribosomal RNA". Lineage: Eukaryota; Metazoa; Chordata; Actinopteri; Pleuronectiformes; Paralichthyidae. The record is from RNAcentral.
CUAUGGAGCUUUAGACGCAAGGGCAGAUCAUGUCAAAUACACCCAGCUAAGGGCCCUGAACUAAAUGAAACCAGCCCUGAUGUCUUCGGUUGGGGCGACCAUGGGGAACACAAAACCCCCACGUGGAAAAGGAGUACACCCCUACAUUCCUCUCCUCCUACAAGCUAGAGCGACAGCUCUAAUCAGCAGAAUUUCUGACCAAACUGAUCCGGCAACGCCGAUCAACGAACCAAGUUACCCUAG